ACCUGAUCCCAUGCCGAACUCAGUAGUGAAACGUAAUAGCGCCGAUGGUAGUGUGGGGCCUCCCCAUGUGAGAGUAGGACAUCGCCAGGC
Molecule: ribosomal RNA, 90 nt
Filed under: Photobacterium sp. BZF1
Lineage: Bacteria; Pseudomonadati; Pseudomonadota; Gammaproteobacteria; Vibrionales; Vibrionaceae
Source: RNAcentral